RNAcentral lists this ribosomal RNA (410 nucleotides) under uncultured eukaryote. RNAcentral describes it as "eukaryotic LSU rRNA". It matches the Rfam family "Eukaryotic large subunit ribosomal RNA", at positions 1056 to 1465 of the family's 3401-position model. The record is from RNAcentral.
UCUCGAACUCCGAACGGGCAAGGAGCCGGGGUCGCCCGAUCGGACCCCGGACGUGAAGUCGACGAUGGUCGGUGGGCUGGUUUUGGUAAGCAGAACGGGCGAUUCGGGAUGAACCGGAAGCGGGGAGAAAGGGCCCGAGAUUGCGUCGACGCGGAUCCCGAAAAGGGCGUCGAUCCGUCGCGACAGCGGGACGGUGGUCAUGGAAGUCGAAAUCCGCUAAGAAGCGUGUAAAAACGUACCCGCCCAACGGAUCGGCCCCGAAAAUUGAUGGCGCUCGAACGCAACCCUCGAACCCCGCCGACGGAGGCUAGGGGGAGGCCCCGUCGAGUAGGCGGACGCGCGGGGUCGCUUCGACGCUCCCGCGCGAGCGGGGCGAGCGGCCCGUGGUGCAGAUCUUGGUGGUAGUAGCG